CUAGAUUGUGAUGAUUAUUUCCCCAGAUGAUCGACGCUGAACAUAAUGUGCGAUUUUGUUUCUUUAGAGAAAUCAAGCCAAAUAAGUCUGAUCCAU
This is a non-coding RNA of Cajanus cajan (pigeon pea), 96 nucleotides long. Lineage: Eukaryota; Viridiplantae; Streptophyta; Magnoliopsida; Fabales; Fabaceae. The record is from Rfam.